Long non-coding RNA from Alligator sinensis (Chinese alligator), 663 nucleotides. RefSeq lists it as uncharacterized. The record is from RefSeq and is a predicted model, not a curated record. The transcript has 4 exons. Lineage: Eukaryota; Metazoa; Chordata; Crocodylia; Alligatoridae.
GUCGCCGGCAUACAGCUAGGCAGGGUGGUGGGAGCAGCCCCAGCCACUGGAUACAGAUGCACCCACUGGCAACAAAAUGAGAGAGACCUUCCAUCUUUUGGUCCCAACAGAUGAGUGGCUAGAGCUAUUGCCUACUACAGCUUCUAUCAAAGGUAUCUUUCACAAACCUCCCACUCAGAGCUCAGGAGGGACAGCUUCAAAAGGAGCACCAGAGAAGGAUCUGGAUAACGGCUGAGAUGAUCCAACUCCUGCCUCAGGGUUUCUCUAUACUACACAACUUCUGCCUUUAUAGCUAUACCAGAAUAUCUAUGUUGGUGGAGUCCUCUUCAAGAAGGCAUGAUAUAUUAUGACAGAAUGGCUUGAGAGACAGUUACAUCCACUCCCCAAGUGACAUAAACCAAACCAUCAGAAGUCCCAUUGUGUCAGGAUGGCUGCAUCCCCACCAAGGAUUUUGCUAACAUUGCUAUGUUGACCAAAGACAUGAAAAAGUCACACAGAGCCACAAUAGCUAUGCUUGGCAAACCUUUGAUCUUAGAUGGCCCAGCAUGUGCAAAAUGAUAAACUACCUUACUCACUCUAAGAUUGUAAUGCAUGCUAUUUACUAUAUAUUAGACCUAUAGGGUGGGUAUACCCAGAGGAAAUUCUUGGCAAAUUUAAUGAAUG